This 243-nucleotide ribosomal RNA is filed under the name uncultured bacterium. Its description in RNAcentral is "partial 16S ribosomal RNA". It matches the Rfam family "Bacterial small subunit ribosomal RNA", at positions 793 to 1035 of the family's 1533-position model. The record is from RNAcentral.
GUCCACGCCGUAAACGAUGUCUACUAGCCGUUGGGGAACUUGAUUCUUUAGUGGCGCAGCUAACGCGAUAAGUAGACCGCCUGGGGAGUACGGCCGCAAGGUUAAAACUCAAAUGAAUUGACGGGGGCCCGCACAAGCGGUGGAGCAUGUGGUUUAAUUCGAAGCAACGCGAAGAACCUUACCUACUCUUGACAUCCAGUGAACUUGGUAGAGAUACCUUGGUGCCUUCGGGAACACUGAGAC